GAUGAACGCUGGCGGCGUGCCUAAUACAUGCAAGUCGAGCGAACGGACGAGAAGCUUGCUUCUCUGAUGUUAGCGGCGGACGGGUGAGUAACACGUGGAUAACCUACCUAUAAGACUGGGAUAACUUCGGGAAACCGGAGCUAAUACCGGAUAAUAUUUUGAACCGCAUGGUUCAAAAGUGAAAGACGGUCUUGCUGUCACUUAUAGAUGGAUCCGCGCUGCAUUAGCUAGUUGGUAAGGUAACGGCUUACCAAGGCAACGAUGCAUAGCCGACCUGAGAGGGUGCUCGGCCACACUGGAACUGAGACACGGUCCAGACUCCUACGGGGGCAGCAGUAGGGAAUCUUCCGCAAUGGGCGAAAGCCUGACGGAGCAACGCCGCGUGAGUGGUGAAGGUCUUCGGAUCGUAAAACUCUGUUAUUAGGGAAGAACAUAUGUGUAAGUAACUGUGCACAUCUUGACGGUACCUAAUCAGAAAGCCACGGCUAACUACGUG
This 496-nucleotide ribosomal RNA is filed under the name uncultured bacterium. RNAcentral's name for it is "partial 16S ribosomal RNA". It matches the Rfam family "Bacterial small subunit ribosomal RNA", at positions 28 to 507 of the family's 1533-position model. The record is from RNAcentral.